GAGUGAACGCUGGCGGUAGGCCUACCACAUGCAAGUCGAACGGCAGCACAGUAAGAGCUUGCUCUUACGGGUGGCGAGUGGCGGACGGGUGAGGAAUACAUCGGAAUCUACUUUUUCGUGGGGGAUAACGUAGGGAAACUUACGCUAAUACCGCAUACGACCUACGGGUGAAAGCAGGGGAUCUUCGGACCUUGCGCGAUUGAAUGAGCCGAUGUCGGAUUAGCUAGUUGGCGGGGUAAAGGCCCACCAAGGCGACGAUCCGUAGCUGGUCUGAGAGGAUGAUCAGCCACACUGGAACUGAGACACGGUUCAGACUCCUACGGGAGGCAGCAGUGGGGAAUAUUGGACAAUGGGCGCAAGCCUGAUCCAGCCAUACCGCGUGGGUGAAGAAGGCCUUCGGGUUGUAAAGCCCUUUUGUUGGGAAAGAAAAGCAGCAGGUUAAUACCCCGCUGUUCUGACGGUACCCAAAGAAUAAGCACCGGCUAACUUCGUG
Molecule: ribosomal RNA, 493 nt
Filed under: uncultured bacterium
Lineage: Bacteria
Description: partial 16S ribosomal RNA
Rfam family: Bacterial small subunit ribosomal RNA
Source: RNAcentral